RNAcentral lists this ribosomal RNA (1976 nucleotides) under Lecanora cinereofusca. RNAcentral describes it as "partial 28S ribosomal RNA". It matches the Rfam family "Eukaryotic large subunit ribosomal RNA", at positions 78 to 1359 of the family's 3401-position model. Lineage: Eukaryota; Fungi; Ascomycota; Lecanoromycetes; Lecanorales; Lecanoraceae. The record is from RNAcentral.
CCCCAGUAACGGCGAGUGAAGCGGCAACAGCUCAAAUUUGAAAUCUGACCCCUUCGGGGCCCGAGUUGUAAUUUGUAGAGGAUGUUUCGGGUGCGGCGCCGGUCUAAGUCCCUUGGAACAGGGCGUCAUAGAGGGUGAGAAUCCCGUAUGCGACCGGCGACCAACCUCAUGUGAAACCCCUUCGACGAGUCGAGUUGUUUGGGAAUGCAGCUCAAAAUGGGUGGUAAAUUUCAUCUAAAGCUAAAUACCGGCCAGAGACCGAUAGCGCACAAGUAGAGUGAUCGAAAGAUGAAAAGCACUUUGGAAAGAGAGUCAAAAAGUACGUGAAAUUGUUGAAAGGGAAGCGCUUGCGACCAGACCUGUCCGCGAACGAUCAACCUCUGUUCUCAGGGGUGCACUCGUUCGCGAUCAGGCCAGCAUCGGUUCGGGCGGUGGGACAAAGGCCUUGGGAACGUAGCUGCCUUUCGGGGCAGUGUUAUAGCCCUCGGCGCAAUGCCAUCAGCCCGGACCGAGGACCGCGCUUCGGCUAGGAUGCUGGCGUAAUGGUUGCAAGCGACCCGUCUUGAAACACGGACCAAGGAGUCUAACAUUUAUGCGAGUGUUUGGGUAUCAAACCCAUGCGCGCAAUGAAAGUGAACGGAGGUGAGAACCCUUAAGGGGGCAUCAUCGACCGAUCCAGAUGUCUUCGGAUGGAUUUGAGUACGAGCAUAACUGUUGGGACCCGAAAGAUGGUGAACUAUGCCUGAAUAGGGUGAAGCCAGAGGAAACUCUGGUGGAGGCUCGCAGCGGUUCUGACGUGCAAAUCGAUCGUCAAAUUUGGGUAUAGGGGCGAAAGACUAAUCGAACCAUCCCCGUAACAGGCGGCAGGAUCGGUUUACGGGGCUCGGCAAACAGGGAGCUUCUCUCGUUAUCGGGCCCUCAGAACCUCCGCCGCUUUCUAGGUGGUUAAGAAGCCACGGGAGGCUUUCCAGAAAGCCGCCCGUGCUGAGUCCUUUGGGGCGACAUCGCUACGUGCAUGAAUCUCCUUCUAGGGGUGAUAUGCUGCAGAUUACCCUUUUACUGGGUCUCUGUCCACAGACCAAAUAGCGUUGGCCGAGGUGUUUCGAUACCCGGUUUAGAAAUGGCCGCGUCCCAUUCUUAUAGGAAUGAGCCUUGAGAUACGUAGUCUUCCUUUACAGAGGCGACUAUCGAGAUCUGGAGGUUUUUGUAUAGACGCUAGUAGCUGGUUCCUGUCGAAGUUUCCCUCAGGAUAGCAGUAACGUUUUCAGUUUUAUGAGGUAAAGCGAAUGAUUAGAGGCCUUGGGGUUGAAACAACCUUAACCUAUUCUCAAACUUUAAAUAUGUAAGAAGUCCUUGUUACUUAGUUGAACGUGGACAUUCGAAUGUAUCGUUACUAGUGGGCCAUUUUUGGUAAGCAGAACUGGCGAUGCGGGAUGAACCGAACGCGAGGUUAAGGUGCCGGAAUGUACGCUCAUCAGACACCACAAGUAUGAGCGUAUAGACCGGCCCUGGAGACCGUUCGGGGGCGAACCCGUAUACGCAAUUGCGUCCCGGGGGAUAUUAUUGUGGUGUCGUGCGCCUCGCCCGGCUCUAUGCUGGAGGGUGAGUGAAGUCUCUUCGGGGGCAAGGUUUUUGAUUGAGAGGGGCUCGCUAUUCUUAUAGCUUACCCUCUGCCGCUCCUGGGCGGCCCACAGAUCAAGCAGAAGCCGGUGGUUGACGUACCAGCCAUUUAAGAUAUGAUCGGCUUUCAAGCUUAUAGCUUGGAAACAAUGCGCAAAAGGUGUUGAUUCAUCUAGACAGCCGGACGGUGGCCAUGGAAGUCGGAACCCGCUAAGGAGUGUGUAAGUAAUUCUGGAGCAGCUCGAGGAUCUGGAGAUUGUUUAUUAAUAUCUCGCUAGGUAACAACUCACCGGCCGAAUGAAUCAGCCCUGAAAAUGGAUGGCGCUCAAGCGUGCUACCCAUACCUCGCCGCCAGG